This 300-nucleotide small nuclear RNA is filed under the name Peromyscus maniculatus bairdii (prairie deer mouse). RNAcentral describes it as "7SK RNA (ENSPEMG00000002368.2)". It matches the Rfam family "7SK RNA". From Rfam's summary of the family: 7SK was discovered as an abundant small nuclear RNA in the mid-70s but a possible function has only recently been suggested. Lineage: Eukaryota; Metazoa; Chordata; Mammalia; Rodentia; Cricetidae. The record is from Rfam by way of RNAcentral.
UGAUGUGAGGGAGACCUGGCUACCUUUGUUACCCACUGACCACCACAGUUGACUACUCAGCUGGUCUGGCUGGCUGCAAGGUGUCUGCUUCCUCCAUUAGCACUCCUCAGGAGUCAUUCCUGAAGUUUUGCAUUUCGAGGAUGACCUUCUCCAAACAGAGGAAACAGUCUCCAGUCCAGCAGAUCUGAGUAGCUUCCCUCCCCAGCUAGAACCUCCAAAUAAACUCUCAAAAUCCAAAAAGCCAUGAAAUCUGAAACACUGGUUCAAACCAUUCAGGUAAGAGAUGCUCAGCCUGUGUUU